This 513-nucleotide long non-coding RNA is filed under the name Rattus norvegicus (Norway rat). Its description in RNAcentral is "long non-coding RNA NONRATT031750". The record is from RNAcentral. Lineage: Eukaryota; Metazoa; Chordata; Mammalia; Rodentia; Muridae.
GUAGGGGUAGGGGAGGGAAUGGGGGCUUAUGGACAGGAAACUGGGAAGGGGAAUGAAAUGUAAGUAAAGAAAUAUAUAAUAAAAAAUUAAAAAAAGAAAGAAAAUAAAUGGCUUAUCCAUCUGAACAGAAUUUUCAAAAGGAGAAAUAAAAAUGGCUAAGAAAUAUCUCAACAAGUGUCCAGCACCAGUAGCCAUUAGUUUAAUGUCAUUCUCUGCUCUUGUUUCAGUGUGUACCAAUCCCCAGGCCCAGAUGCAGCCUCAGCUCAAAAGCCAUCUGCUGCUCCAUUUUGUUCCCAGAUGUGCCUGGUUUCCUGAUUCAUUUAACGGAAUCUCUUGAGACGUCCGUCUUGGUUCCAAGGACUUUGUAAUGGAAGAGUUGGCGCUGCGGCGGCAGAGGAUUUUGUUUCCUUCUCUCCGUAGCCAUUCUGAGUUUCCAGGAUCCAGAGCGGCUUGGUCACCUUCACUGGCCCCUGCAUGCUCCCUUGGAUGCUCCAGUGGGAGAACAAGUGUGCA